AAGGAUCAUUAUCGAAUUCUGAGGGGGGAAGACGGGGUGAGUGAGGACUGUCGCUGGCCCGAGCUAACUCUUGGGCAUGUGCACGUCUUUGCUUUUUCGUCGACCUUUCUCUCUCAUACACACACCUGUGCACCCGUCGUAGGUCCUCGAAAGAGGAUCUAUGUUUUUCACAUCACACCCGUCGUAUGUCUAUAGAAUGUAUUGAGAACGUCGACCUGUCUGACAGGCUGGCGGUCCAUAAUGAAAUCAUACAACUUUCAGCAACGGAUCUCUUGGCUCUCGCAUCGAUGAAGAACGCAGCGAAUUGCGAUAAGUAAUGUGAAUUGCAGAUUUUCAGUGAAUCAUCGAAUCUUUGAACGCACCUUGCGCUCCUUGGUAUUCCGAGGAGCAUGCCUGUUUGAGUGUCAUUGAAUUCUCAACCAUGUCUCGAUCGAUUUCGAGGCAUGGCUUGGACUUGGGGGUUGCUGGCGGCGAAACGCUGUCGGCUCUCCUGAAAUGCAUUAGCAAAGGACGGCAAGUCUUUGGACGUGCACGGCCUUCGACGUGAUAACGAUCGUCGUGGCUGGAGCGUCGGACAUGCAUGAACGAUCCAUCGCUUCCAAUCCCUAAUCCAAGUCUAGAGUCGCUCAGCUACUAGUCCGGUCGCGAGGCCGGACGAACGUUGGGUGGGCAAGACUUGGCUGUUUGGAAACUUGACCUCAAAUCAGGUAGGACUACCCGCUGAACUUAA
RNAcentral lists this ribosomal RNA (730 nucleotides) under Boletus sp. 1 RGO-2016. RNAcentral describes it as "eukaryotic LSU rRNA". The stretch from base 253 to 407 matches the Rfam family "5.8S ribosomal RNA". The record is from RNAcentral. Lineage: Eukaryota; Fungi; Basidiomycota; Agaricomycetes; Boletales; Boletaceae.